UUUAAAGUCUGACCUGCCCACUGAAUUGAAAAAAUUUGAAGGGCCGCGGUAUUUUGACCGUGCAAAGGUAGCAUAAUCAUUAGUCUUUUAAUUGAAGGCUGGAAUGAAUGGUUGGACGAGGUAUUGACUGUCUCAAUGUAAAUGACAAUAGAAUUUAUCUUUUAAGUCAAAAGACUUAAAUAGUAUUAGAGGACGAGAAGACCCUAUAGAGCUUUAUAUUUAAAGAUUAUUAUUUAUUUAGAAGUAUUUUUAUAAUAGUGAUAUAAAUAUUUUGUUGGGGUGACAGGAAGAUACAAUAAACUCUUUUUAGUUUAAUUACAUUUAUUUAUGAAUUGAUGAUCCAUUAUUAGUGAUUACAAGACUAAGUUACCUUAGGGAUAACAGCGUAAUCUUUUUCGAGAGUUCUUAU
This 409-nucleotide ribosomal RNA is filed under the name Allocapnia recta (eastern snowfly). RNAcentral describes it as "partial 16S ribosomal RNA". It matches the Rfam family "Archaeal large subunit ribosomal RNA", at positions 1938 to 2574 of the family's 2987-position model. Lineage: Eukaryota; Metazoa; Arthropoda; Insecta; Plecoptera; Capniidae. The record is from RNAcentral.